This 1016-nucleotide long non-coding RNA is filed under the name Camelus dromedarius (Arabian camel). Its description in RNAcentral is "lncRNA (ENSCDRG00005020496.1)". Lineage: Eukaryota; Metazoa; Chordata; Mammalia; Artiodactyla; Camelidae. The record is from RNAcentral.
GUUUGAGUCCUUGGUCAGAUAUAUGGCUUUGCACAUAAUUUCUCCAAGUCUUUGGUAGGCAGAAUCUCAAAGAUAGCCCCCCAAGAUUCCUGUUCCUUGAUUAUUCAAUCAAACAUUAAUCUAGGCACUGCUGUGAAGGGACUUUUCAGAUGCAAUUAAGGUUAGUAAAUGAGUGAUUUUGAAAUAGGGAAAUUAUUAUUAAUAUCUGGCUCAAGGUAAUCAUAAGGUGACCUUAAAAGUAGAAGAGGAAGCAAGUAGGGGUGGGGGAGAGAGAGAAGGAGGAAGAGGAGAAGGAGGAGGGAGGGGGUGGGUGAGGGGGAUGAGGUCAGAAUGAUUUGCAACCCACCAUUGCUGGCUUUGAAGGUGGAGGAAGGGGAUUGCUAGCCAAGGAAUGCAGAUGUCUAGAAGCUAAGAAUGACCCCAGGCCAACAGCCAGCAAGGAAAUGGCAACAUUAGUCCUACAAAUGCAUGAAACUGGACUCUCCCAACAACCAGAAUGAGUCUGGAAGAUUAAUCACCAGAGCCUCUACAAAGGAACACAACCCUCCUGCUGAGGGAGAUCUAGAACACAGAAACCAGCCGAGCCUACCAGACUUCUGACCUACAGAGCUGGAUCAUCGUGAUGGUACUGCUCUCAUGACUUCAUCUAAGAUGCCUUAAUCAUUGCCCAAAGAUCCCACCUCCAAAAACCAUCACAUUGGAGGUGCUUCUUCAACAUCUGAAUUUUGAGGGGGGACACACUCAGUCUAUCACAGAUGCUUGGACAUGCUGGGGCAGCAUUCUGCAUGAGCCGUCCCAAGAAAGACUCCUGGGAGGUGCAUCUCACCCCUCUGGGCUCCCAGCUGCAGUCACCAGGGAACUCUGACCAGUUCAAGCCUAGGUGCAGACUGUGGUGCCACAGAUGUGACCAGCGUUUCCACCCCAUCUCACCUGGACGGAGGACACGCCCCUUGCUGGCACUGCAGCGUCACCAAUGCACAUGAAGGUACUCAUUUCCACUCAUAGCUGUGAUUUUU